Molecule: ribosomal RNA, 253 nt
Filed under: uncultured bacterium
Lineage: Bacteria
Description: partial 16S ribosomal RNA
Rfam family: Bacterial small subunit ribosomal RNA
Source: RNAcentral
UACGUAGGGUGCAGGCGUUAUUCGGAAUUACUGGGCUUAAAGGGUGCGUAGGCGGUGCGGAAAGUUGGGUGUGAAAUCCCUCGGCUCAACCGAGGAACUGCGCUCAAAACUACCGUACUUGAGGAAGAUAGAGGUGAGCGGAACUUACGGUGGAGCGGUGAAAUGCGUUGAUAUCGUAAGGAACACCCGUGGCGAAAGCGGCUCACUGGGUCUUUUCUGACGCUGAUGCACGAAAGCUAGGGGAGCAAACGGG